RNAcentral lists this ribosomal RNA (425 nucleotides) under uncultured bacterium. Its description in RNAcentral is "bacterial SSU rRNA". It matches the Rfam family "Bacterial small subunit ribosomal RNA", at positions 354 to 796 of the family's 1533-position model. The record is from RNAcentral.
GUGGGGAAUAUUGGACAAUGGGCGCAAGCCUGAUCCAGCCAUGCCGCGUGAGUGAUGAAGGCCUUAGGGUUGUAAAGCUCUUUCAGUGGGGAAGAUAAUGACGGUACCCACAGAAGAAGCCCCGGCUAACUUCGUGCCAGCAGCCGCGGUAAUACGAAGGGGGCUAGCGUUGUUCGGAUUUACUGGGCGUAAAGCGCACGUAGGCGGAUCGUUAAGUCGGGGGUGAAAUCCUGGAGCUCAACUCCAGAACUGCCUUCGAUACUGGCGAUCUUGAGUCCGGAAGAGGUGAGUGGAACUCCUAGUGUAGAGGUGGAAUUCGUAGAUAUUAGGAAGAACACCAGUGGCGAAGGCGGCUCACUGGUCCGGUACUGACGCUGAGGUGCGAAAGCGUGGGGAGCAAACAGGAUUAGAUACCCCUGUAGUCC